RNAcentral lists this long non-coding RNA (1119 nucleotides) under Homo sapiens (human). RNAcentral's name for it is "HSALNT0029651". The record is from RNAcentral. Lineage: Eukaryota; Metazoa; Chordata; Mammalia; Primates; Hominidae.
AGAACCUCCCGGCGGACAAGAAGCUGGGAGGCGCGCAGAACCAUCGUCAGUCCCCGAGGCUCUCUGCAGUCCGCGUGAGUCCUGGCCAAGGUCUGGCCUCGGAAGCUACGAGCUACAAUCUUCCUUCAUCCUACCCACCCACGAAGAGCGCCACCCCAGCUGCAGACCAAGUGACCAGCCCAGUUAGAAGGGGCUCGGCCGGAUCAAACCUCGGUGCUGCCUCAAAGCAUCUGCUGAAGCUCUUCCUCGACCAACUGAACUUCCUCACUGAGUGGUUCUUACUAGAAAAUUAUAAGCCCAGUCUGACAGUCUCUGAAAGAAUGUCAGUGUUUUACUGUAAAGCCAAAGAUGGGGGAAGAAGCAGUUUUGGGGGUUUCCUGAUCAGCUUUUAUUCAAGCCCUUAAAUCUGUGAAUAUGCGAUGUUAAUGCCACCUUACAUUUGUAUUAGAUUAGCAGUAUGCAACUGGCUUUCCAAACCGUGGUCCUACUGAUAGUAAUGUAGUUGUAAAACGUACAUAGGAUAAUUUGCCUCCUACACAGUGUGUAAAUAGCAAACAACAUCUCUUUACUUGGAUUUUUUAAAAUUCCAAUAAAUUCAAUUUAUUUUAAUGUAAACAAAAGUGAUAACACGCAAACUUCCUGCCUUUGACACAAUUCUAUUUGUAAUUGCACUUUGUAAUAUGAAAACUUGAAAACAUUUGGAGUAAAUGAUGGCAUAACAAUAUGGUGGAAUAUAAGCGAUUAAAAUUAAAAAUUGUGACUACAUAUACAGAAAUAUGGUGUACCAUUGAGUUUUACUUCCAGCUGGCGUUAGACUACAACUUAAUAUUGCUACUCUAAAAAAUCGUGGAUACAGAUCUAAAGUAAAUAAAAUUUGGUUAAGAGCUAGACAUAUAAGUAAGUUUUUAAAGUUUCGCAGUGUAUACUUAAAUAGUAUUGUGAUUGGUGACAGCUGUCAUGUGGAACUUUGAAGAUUUUUCAUGUAAUGCUGAUUCAAACGUGUAUGCCUAUGUGCAGGAUGUAUAAAUUGCCUAGUAGAUAUAUUAAAUUAAGAUUAAAUGCUUUUCAAGAGUGUGAAAUAAAAAGGGCAUACAUACAAGUAGAGAAUGAUUGGGACUU